Molecule: long non-coding RNA, 952 nt
Organism: Hordeum vulgare subsp. vulgare (domesticated barley)
Lineage: Eukaryota; Viridiplantae; Streptophyta; Magnoliopsida; Poales; Poaceae
Exons: 3
Source: RefSeq, a predicted model, not a curated record
GCAGGUAAACAGGGGCGCAAGUUGGUAACUGCAGCGCAGGUUGAUCUUCCGCCUGCUAAUUGCUAGUAUAUUUGUAGUUGCUGGCUACUCUGUCAUUUUAUUACAGUUUGUUUAUCUAUUCAAAGGAAUGAGGUCUGCCAUUCAACAUAUAAACCCAACUUAUCUUUGUAUUUAUUGCUUUUCAGUUUCUCGUUCUAUAUUAUCUAUUGAUGCUGCCAUUGUGGAUUAUGAUAACUUUUGGUACUUCAUCCUUACUGUCCUGAAACUUACCUGGACGUGUGCUGGGUUAUUCUUGUAUGUGGUUUUUUUACUGGUUAUUACGCGUUCUGCACAUUCUUACACGGCUGCACCCGAGGUGCUUCUGGCUACUGCUGGUGGAUGUCGUCGACACCGGAGAGGGCUGUUCUGCUGCAGCUCCCCCACGAGGUGUUCGAUCAAUUGACCAAACCGAGCCAAGUCUGCCUCUCUUGCCUAGGCAUGGACAAUGGUCAUGUACUUUCCUUCAUCAAGUACGAGAAGCGAAGCUGAAGGAGAGGAAGAGGCCACAUAAGGAUUAUUGCACCCCAAAUGGAAAUUUUGCAAGUGGAGAUGAAGGAUUGUUCUAAAUUGACGGAUGAAGCUAUGCCUUCUUUUAGUGGGCUUUUAUUUUUUGAAGUGCAAGACAGGAGCACUGCCGAUUUUCAUUAAGAGAGGAAAAAGAAAACAAAGUGGCCCUGUUUAUAAGGAAAACUAGGCCGAAAAACCUUACAACACACGAUUGAAAUUAGUGGGCUUUUAUAUGUUUGCAUAGUUUUUGCUCUUCAAACUUAAGCUUCAUGUAUGAAAGAUUGUCAUUGGAAAUAGAUACGCUAUUCUCAAGGAAGUAUUAUGCUAGAGUUACUGUCUUGUAAACUAAGCUUAUGUCUGUUUCAAAUUGACGUUUUGACUAAUGUGGGAUUUUUUUGGUGUCAAA